RNAcentral lists this ribosomal RNA (254 nucleotides) under uncultured bacterium. RNAcentral describes it as "partial 16S ribosomal RNA". It matches the Rfam family "Bacterial small subunit ribosomal RNA", at positions 526 to 779 of the family's 1533-position model. The record is from RNAcentral.
CGGAGGGGCGUAGCGUUGUUCGGAAUUACUGGGCGUAAAGCGCACGUAGGCGGCUUUGUAAGUUAGAGGUGAAAGCCCGGAGCUCAACUCCGGAAUUGCCUUUAAGACUGCAUCGCUCGAAUCAUGGAGAGGUGAGUGGAAUUCCGAGUGUAGAGGUGAAAUUCGUAGAUAUUCGGAAGAACACCAGUGGCGAAGGCGACUCACUGGACAUGUAUUGACGCUGAGGUGCGAAAGCGUGGGGAGCAAACAGGAUU